CGGGGCGUGGCGCAGUUUGGUUAGCGCGCCUGCUUUGGGAGCAGGAGGUCGGCGGUUCGAAUCCGCCCGCCCCGACCG
Molecule: transfer RNA, 78 nt
Filed under: Actinomycetes bacterium
Lineage: Bacteria; Bacillati; Actinomycetota; Actinomycetes
Description: Actinobacteria bacterium tRNA-Pro
Rfam family: tRNA
About the family: Transfer RNA (tRNA) molecules are approximately 80 nucleotides in length. Their secondary structure includes four short double-helical elements and three loops (D, anti-codon, and T loops).
Source: RNAcentral